This 564-nucleotide ribosomal RNA is filed under the name uncultured bacterium. Its description in RNAcentral is "partial 16S ribosomal RNA". It matches the Rfam family "Bacterial small subunit ribosomal RNA", at positions 355 to 1375 of the family's 1533-position model. The record is from RNAcentral.
UGGGGAAUAUUGGACAAUGGGCGCAAGCCUGAUCCAGCCAUGCCGCGUGAGUGAUGAAGGCCUUAGGGUUGUAAAGCUCUUUCGCCGACGAAGAUAAUGACGGUAGUCGGAGAAGAAGCCCCGGCUAACUUCGUGCCAGCAGCCGCGGUAAUACGAAGGGGGCUAGCGUUGUUCGGAAUCACUGGGCGUAAAGCGCACGUAGGCGGAUUGUUAAGUCAGGGGUGAAAGCCUGGAGCUCAACUCCAGAACUGCCCUUGAUACUGGCAAUCUCGAGUCCGGAAGAGGUAAGUGGAACUGCGAGUGUAGAGGUGAAAUUCGUAGAUAUUCGCAAGAACACCAGUGGCGAAGGCGGCUUACUGGUCCGGUACUGACGCUGAGGUGCGAAAAGCGUGGGGAGCAAAACAGGAUUAGAUACCCUGGUAGUCCACGCCGUAAAACGAUGGAGGCUAGCCGUUGGCGAGCAUGCUCGUCAGUGGCGCAGCUAACGCAUUAAGCCUCCCGCCUGGGGAGUACGGUCGCAAGAUUAAAAACUUAAAGGAAUUGACGGGGUCAUAGCUGUUUCCU